Molecule: non-coding RNA, 73 nt
Organism: Mycobacterium sp. 852002-51057_SCH5723018
Lineage: Bacteria; Bacillati; Actinomycetota; Actinomycetes; Mycobacteriales; Mycobacteriaceae
Source: Rfam
AGCGCUGCGCAAGUGGGCCGAUGGUCGACUCCUGCAGCGCAGGAGCCUUCAGCCCGGCUCCGGAAAGCUGCAG